Molecule: RNA transcript, 1993 nt
Organism: Alosa sapidissima (American shad)
Lineage: Eukaryota; Metazoa; Chordata; Actinopteri; Clupeiformes; Clupeidae
Exons: 10
Source: RefSeq, a predicted model, not a curated record
UACACUUUCACCCUUAACGCACCCCAGUCGUCACUAGCGCGCGGGCUGUUUGCAAGUGUUUGACCUGAAGUGAAGACGUGAGGUAAAAGACAGAGUGAAUAUUGUGCCCUUCAACGACGACGUCAACUUCUAAAGACUAAGUGUGAGCCCUGUCCUUCAAAAUGGACCAACUUGACGUGGCAACACAGUCAUUUUUGGAAGCUGCAAGUAUUACGGAUGAGAUACUGCCUUUGUUAACACGUGAAGACCUACGGGACCUUCUACCAGGGCCAGACAAUUUUCGCAAGCGAAAGUACAUUUGGGAAGCUGUCCAUUCAGAGGACCUGGGUGACGAAAUAUGCUCAGUGCUGCUGAAGAAGGCAACAUUCAGGACAACCCACCCUCCGAAGAAGCUGUAAAACCAGCUGGGGAUCAGAACAUGCCGAAGACCUGUCUCGCACAAGACAUCACUCCAGAAAAGAUCAUGAAGCUUUGCAGCCCAGAGUAUGUUCUCUAUACAGAUCCAGAACUCGAGCAUGUACGCAAGCACUACUUUGAACUUCAGUGCAGUGGACGAGAACAUGAGUGUAGUAUGUCUAAAGAGUUGCGAUGUCGUUUAGUGAGAAACACAAUUACUUCAAUGAUUUCAAUUCUAAGAGGGCAUGACCUGAAGGACAGAAGAGAUGCAGGAGAGUAUCCGUCCCGUGAAGAGAUCUCUGCCAUGGCAAGGAGGUUAAUUGAAUAUUACCCCAUGCUUCAACAGGCAAAUGCAACAACUAAACCAUGGGAACCUAUCCUGCGACAAAUGCUGAAACGAUUGCAGAAUGUCAAAUCCACCCAGACUUUGAAACUAGCAACUCCUAUGAACAACAAAGCUGUUGUGAAGAAAAGACGACUUCAGUUUCAGCCAUCUGACAAAGAGACAGAGCCUGACACUGUUCCAGUUGAAUCAGAGGAGAUGACUGAUGCACCUGCCACCACUUUUACAGACCUAGACAGUGACAGCACAGAUUGCCAUCAGUCAAGAAAAAUGAUGGCCAGACAUUAUAAAACCCUUCAAGAGUUGUUCAAGCAACAAAAACCAAACAAAGAGGACAUCAGUCAUCUAUUGGAUCUGGAAUACGAGUCUAGGAGGGCUUUCGUAGAAUGUUGUUCAGACAAAGACGAGGAGAGAGCCAAGAAAGUCCUGGAGGCUUAUCCAUGCUUUUCAGACUAUCAACACAUAAAUUAUGGAUGAACUGGGCAGAAUCCUAGAGGCUGAUAAUAAGAAGUAUGUUGACCAGCUUAAAGCGAGAUGGGCGAAGUUCUACCACAGUGCCAUGUUCUUUGGAGUUUGGAGGAAGGUGAUGAAGCCACCAAUGGGGCUUGAUGAAGGUGCACAUGCCAUUGCCUUGUUGGAGGCCCUCCCCAAAAUGUUUCCUUCUCCAACUGCCCCUCCCAAAAAGCUCAAGUCUGCAAAUGAGGCGCUAUACCACAUCCUUAAGCCUUCUGAGGAUCCAAAUAUUUUUUUGGGAAAAAGGCCUCUCAGCUCUCCGGUCCUCAUCAUCGACGGCACCAAUAUGCUUCUGGCAGUUGGCAACAUGCCCCUACUGACCUUACCAAAAGACUGUUUCCCUGAAGCCCUCUUAGUGCUGAUGGGAUGCUACUACACUUUCCAGUAUACAUAUCCAAAAUGUGUUGCAACAUUAUUUUCUAUUCUACAGACAGAGGUGCUCGGUGACUCCAUUCACGAAAGGGACAAAACCCCAUCUUACAAAAAGGCUGUCGCUGAGUGGCGAGAUUUUGCCAAAGUGUAAGCCACGCAAACUUUGUUGUCUUUGUUUUGUUUGGUUGGUUUGUUUCUUUGUUUAGCUACAAAGCUAAAGUUAGGCAAAUUACAUUGGGCUCAAAUUUGCUCUCUCUCUCUCACAUACACACACACCACCAUACAAAUACCAUACAUACACACACACAAAUGUACACACACACUCUCCAUCUCUCUCUGACACACACACAUACAAAUUUGCUCUAAAUC